CAACCUGCCUCAUACUCGGGGAUAGCCUUUCGAAAGAAAGAUUAAUAUCCGAUAGCAUAUAUUUCCCGCAUGGGUUUUAUAUUAAAGAAAUUCGGUAUGAGAUGGGGAUGCGUUCCAUUAGUUUGUUGGGGGGGUAACGGCCCACCAAGACUACGAUGGAUAGGGGUUCUGAGAGGAAGGUCCCCCACAUUGGAACUGAGACACGGUCCAAACUCCUACGGGAGGCAGCAGUGAGGAAUAUUGGUCAAUGGGCGAGAGCCUGAACCAGCCAAGUAGCGUGAAGGAUGACUGCCCUAUGGGUUGUAAACUUCUUUUAUAAAGGAAUAAAGUCGGGUAUGCAUACCCGUUUGCAUGUACUUUAUGAAUAAGGAUCGGCUAACUCCGUGCCAGCAGCCGCGGUAAUACGGAGGAUCCGAGCGUUAUCCGGAUUUAUUGGGUUUAAAGGGAGCGUAGGCGGAUUGUUAAGUCAGUUGUGAAAGUUUGCGGCUCAACCGUAAAAUUGCAGUUGAUACUGGCAGUCUUGAGUGCAGUAGAGGUGGGCGGAAUUCGUGGUGUAGCGGUGAAAUGCUUAGAUAUCACGAAGAACUCCGAUUG
This 594-nucleotide ribosomal RNA is filed under the name uncultured Bacteroidota bacterium. RNAcentral's name for it is "bacterial SSU rRNA". It matches the Rfam family "Bacterial small subunit ribosomal RNA", at positions 122 to 715 of the family's 1533-position model. The record is from RNAcentral. Lineage: Bacteria; Pseudomonadati; Bacteroidota.